Molecule: ribosomal RNA, 459 nt
Filed under: uncultured bacterium
Lineage: Bacteria
Description: partial 16S ribosomal RNA
Rfam family: Bacterial small subunit ribosomal RNA
Source: RNAcentral
CCUACGGGAGACAGCAGUGAGGAAUAUUGGUCAAUGGACGGAAGUCUGAACCAGCCAUGCCGCGUGCAGGAAGACGGCUCUAUGAGUUGUAAACUGCUUUUGUACAAGAGUAAACCUGAGUACGUGUAUUCGGCUGAGAGUACUGUACGAAUAAGUAUCGGCUAACUCCGUGCCAGCAGCCGCGGUCAUAAGGAGGAUCCAAGCGUUAUCCGGAUUUAUUGGGGUUAAAGGGUGCGUAGGCGGAGUGAUAAGGUAGAGGUGAAAUGUCCGGGAUCAACCCGGGCCGGUCGUUGAAACUGGGGAUCGUGAGUGGUCGAGAAGUAUGCGGAAUGCGGGGUGUAGCGGUGAAAUGCAUAGAUAUCACGCAGAACUCCGAUUGCGAAGGCAGCAUACCGGCGCCCGACUGACGCUGAGGCACGAAAGCGUGGGGAUCGAACAGGAUUAGAUACCCGUGUAGUC